This 490-nucleotide ribosomal RNA is filed under the name uncultured bacterium. RNAcentral's name for it is "bacterial SSU rRNA". It matches the Rfam family "Bacterial small subunit ribosomal RNA", at positions 17 to 518 of the family's 1533-position model. The record is from RNAcentral.
UUCUGGCUCAGGACGAACGCUGGCGGCGUGCCUAACACAUGCAAGUCGAACGGAGUUAAUGAUUUCGGUUGUUAACUUAGUGGCGAACGGGUGAGUAACGCGUGAACAACCUGACCCAAAGAGGGGGAUAACAUUUGGAAACAGAUGCUAAUACCGCAUAAGACCACAACGUCACAUGGCGAAGGGGUCAAAGGAGCAAUCCGCUUUGGGAGGGGUUCGCGUCCCAUUAGGUAGUAGGCGGGGUAACAGCCCACCUAGCCAACGAUGGGUAGCCGAGCUGAGAGGCUGAUCGGCCACACUGGAACUGAGACACGGUCCAGACUCCUACGGGAGGCAGCAGUGGGGAAUAUUGGGCAAUGGGCGCAAGCCUGACCCAAGCAACGCCGCGUGAGGGAAGAAGGUUUUCGGAUUGUAAACCUCUGUCGCAGAAGACGAAGGAAGUGACGGUAUUCUGUGAGGAAGCCCCGGCUAACUACGUGCCAGCAGCUGC